Molecule: long non-coding RNA, 94 nt
Organism: Ipomoea nil (Japanese morning glory)
Lineage: Eukaryota; Viridiplantae; Streptophyta; Magnoliopsida; Solanales; Convolvulaceae
Exons: 3
Source: RefSeq, a predicted model, not a curated record
UUGAUUUGGAAUUUUUGACAGCCCUGGUUGUUGAUCGGGUAUAUUUGACAUGGAGGCAAAUACGAUAAAUAUGGUGCGAUUGAACGGUAGAAAU